UAAUACGUAGGGAGCAAGCGUUGUCCGGAAUUACUGGGCGUAAAGGGCGCGUAGGCGGGAUAUUAAGUCAGGUGUGAAAACUCUGGGCUCAACUCAGAGAUUGCACUUGAAACUGGUAUUCUUGAGGACAGGAGAGGAAAGUGGAAUUCCUAGUGUAGCGGUGAAAUGCGUAGAUAUUAGGAGGAACACCAGUGGCGAAGGCGACUUUCUGGACUGUAACUGACGCUGAGGCGCGAAAGCGUGGGGAGUGAACGGGAUUAGAUACCCCGGUAAUCCACGCUGUAAACGAUGGGUACUAGGUGUAGGAGGUAUCGACCCCUUCUGUGCCGGAGUUAACGCAAUAAGUACCCCGCCUGGGGAGUACGGCCGCAAGGUUG
RNAcentral lists this ribosomal RNA (377 nucleotides) under uncultured bacterium. Its description in RNAcentral is "bacterial SSU rRNA". It matches the Rfam family "Bacterial small subunit ribosomal RNA", at positions 521 to 896 of the family's 1533-position model. The record is from RNAcentral.